Molecule: long non-coding RNA, 316 nt
Organism: Uloborus diversus
Lineage: Eukaryota; Metazoa; Arthropoda; Arachnida; Araneae; Uloboridae
Exons: 2
Source: RefSeq, a predicted model, not a curated record
GCACAAGUGGACAUUAGCAAGAUCUUGAAGCGAUAAAAAUAGCUUGUGCUUGCAACGUACCUUAAUGAAACGCUUUGUGACACUCCUGAUUGGAUGCGGACUUAUAAAAGGAAAACUACACGAUGUUCUUACACUACUGACGACUUGAAUAAUGCUGCGAAGGCUGUCAAUGAUGAGGGGAAAAUUGUGAAUGCCGCCGCAAAAUAAUUCGGUAUCAAGCAGAUGACUUUGAAAAGAUUUUUAAAGAAAUUAAAAGAUGGUGAUUCAUCAAUGGGUUAUGCAAAACUGAGGCAAGUUUUUUCUUCCCAACAAGCGG